This 1529-nucleotide ribosomal RNA is filed under the name Klebsiella pneumoniae. RNAcentral describes it as "bacterial SSU rRNA". It matches the Rfam family "Bacterial small subunit ribosomal RNA". Lineage: Bacteria; Pseudomonadati; Pseudomonadota; Gammaproteobacteria; Enterobacterales; Enterobacteriaceae. The record is from RNAcentral.
AGAGUUUGAUCAUGGCUCAGAUUGAACGCUGGCGGCAGGCCUAACACAUGCAAGUCGAGCGGUAGCACAGAGAGCUUGCUCUCGGGUGACGAGCGGCGGACGGGUGAGUAAUGUCUGGGAAACUGCCUGAUGGAGGGGGAUAACUACUGGAAACGGUAGCUAAUACCGCAUAAUGUCGCAAGACCAAAGUGGGGGACCUUCGGGCCUCAUGCCAUCAGAUGUGCCCAGAUGGGAUUAGCUAGUAGGUGGGGUAACGGCUCACCUAGGCGACGAUCCCUAGCUGGUCUGAGAGGAUGACCAGCCACACUGGAACUGAGACACGGUCCAGACUCCUACGGGAGGCAGCAGUGGGGAAUAUUGCACAAUGGGCGCAAGCCUGAUGCAGCCAUGCCGCGUGUGUGAAGAAGGCCUUCGGGUUGUAAAGCACUUUCAGCGGGGAGGAAGGCGAUGAGGUUAAUAACCUCAUCGAUUGACGUUACCCGCAGAAGAAGCACCGGCUAACUCCGUGCCAGCAGCCGCGGUAAUACGGAGGGUGCAAGCGUUAAUCGGAAUUACUGGGGCGUAAAGCGCACGCAGGCGGUCUGUCAAGUCGGAUGUGAAAUCCCCGGGCUCAACCUGGGAACUGCAUUCGAAACUGGCAGGCUAGAGUCUUGUAGAGGGGGGUAGAAUUCCAGGUGUAGCGGUGAAAUGCGUAGAGAUCUGGAGGAAUACCGGUGGCGAAGGCGGCCCCCUGGACAAAGACUGACGCUCAGGUGCGAAAGCGUGGGGAGCAAACAGGAUUAGAUACCCUGGUAGUCCACGCCGUAAACGAUGUCGAUUUGGAGGUUGUGCCCUUGAGGCGUGGCUUCCGGAGCUAACGCGUUAAAUCGACCGCCUGGGGAGUACGGCCGCAAGGUUAAAACUCAAAUGAAUUGACGGGGGCCCGCACAAGCGGUGGAGCAUGUGGUUUAAUUCGAUGCAACGCGAAGAACCUUACCUGGUCUUGACAUCCACAGAACUUUCCAGAGAUGGAUUGGUGCCUUCGGGAACUGUGAGACAGGUGCUGCAUGGCUGUCGUCAGCUCGUGUUGUGAAAUGUUGGGUUAAGUCCCGCAACGAGCGCAACCCUUAUCCUUUGUUGCCAGCGGUUAGGCCGGGAACUCAAAGGAGACUGCCAGUGAUAAACUGGAGGAAGGUGGGGAUGACGUCAAGUCAUCAUGGCCCUUACGACCAGGGCUACACACGUGCUACAAUGGCAUAUACAAAGAGAAGCGACCUCGCGAGAGCAAGCGGACCUCAUAAAGUAUGUCGUAGUCCGGAUUGGAGUCUGCAACUCGACUCCAUGAAGUCGGAAUCGCUAGUAAUCGUAGAUCAGAAUGCUACGGUGAAUACGUUCCCGGGCCUUGUACACACCGCCCGUCACACCAUGGGAGUGGGUUGCAAAAGAAGUAGGUAGCUUAACCUUCGGGAGGGCGCUUACCACUUUGUGAUUCAUGACUGGGGUGAAGUCGUAACAAGGUAACCGUAGGGGAACCUGCGGUUGGAUCACCU